Molecule: ribosomal RNA, 479 nt
Filed under: uncultured bacterium
Lineage: Bacteria
Description: bacterial SSU rRNA
Rfam family: Bacterial small subunit ribosomal RNA
Source: RNAcentral
AUGAACGCUAGCGGCAGGCUUAAUACAUGCAAGUCGAACGGUAACAGGUCUUCGGACGCUGACGAGUGGCGCACGGGUGAGGAACACGUACACAAUCUACCUUAUACUGGAGAAUAGCCCCGGGAAACUGGGAUUAAUACUCCAUAGUCUUUAAUGAUCACAUGAGAAAUAAGUAAAGCUUCGGCGGUAUGAGAUGAGUGUGCGUCCCAUUAGAUUGUUGGUGAGGUAACGGCUCACCAAGUCGACGAUGGGUAGCUGGCGUGAGAGCGCGACCAGCCACACUGGCACUGAGACACGGGCCAGACUCCUACGGGAGGCAGCAGUAGGGAAUAUUGGUCAAUGGACGAAAGUCUGAACCAGCCAUGCCGCGUGGAGGAUGACUGCCCUCUGGGUUGUAAACUCCUUUUAUAUGGGAAGAAACCUCUGGAUUCACUCCAGAGCUGACGGUAUCAUAUGAAUAAGCACCGGCUAACUCCGUG